RNAcentral lists this ribosomal RNA (253 nucleotides) under uncultured bacterium. RNAcentral's name for it is "partial 16S ribosomal RNA". It matches the Rfam family "Bacterial small subunit ribosomal RNA", at positions 524 to 776 of the family's 1533-position model. The record is from RNAcentral.
UACGUAGGAUGCAAGCGUUGUUCGGAAUUACUGGGCGUAAAGAGUACGUAGGCGGCAAUGUAAGUCUGAUAUUAAAGACUGGAGCUUAACUUCAGGAGUGUAUUGGAAACUACAUAGCUAGAGGAUAGUAGAGGAAGUCGGAAUUCUCAGUGUAGCGGUGAAAUGCGUAGAUAUUGGGAAGAACACCAGUUGCGAAAGCGGACUUCUGGGCUAUUACUGACGCUGAGGUACGAAAGCGUGGGGAGCAAACAGG